GACGAACGCUGGCGGCGUGCUUAACACAUGCAAGUCGAACGGAAAGGCCCUGCUUUUGUGGGGUGCUCGAGUGGCGAACGGGUGAGUAUCACGUGAGUAACCUGCCCUUGACUUUGGGAUAACUUCAGUAAACUGGGGCGAAUACCGGAUAUGAGCUCCUGCUGCAUGGUGGGGGUGGGAAAGUUUCGGCGGUUGGGGAUGGACUCGCGGCUUAUCAGCUUGUUGGUGGGGUAGUGGCUUACCAAGGCUUUGACGGGUAGCCGGCCUGAGAGGGUGACCGGCCACAUUGGGACUGAGAUACGGCCCAGACUCCUACUGGAGGCAGCAGUGGGGAAUAUUGCACAAUGGGCGGAAGGCUGAAGCAGCAACGCCGCGUGCGAGAUGACGGUCUUCGGGUUGUAAACCGCUUUAGCGUGUGACGAAGAGUGAGUGACGGUAAUGGGUAAAGAAGCACCGGCUAACUACGUG
This 468-nucleotide ribosomal RNA is filed under the name uncultured bacterium. RNAcentral's name for it is "partial 16S ribosomal RNA". It matches the Rfam family "Bacterial small subunit ribosomal RNA", at positions 28 to 507 of the family's 1533-position model. The record is from RNAcentral.